CCAAGGACAUCACGUAAUGCUAAAAGUUUUCAAACAAACAUGCAUCAUUGGCUUAUUUUACAAAUAAAAUUUUCAACCACUUAAUAAUGUGGUGUAUACUUAAUUUAAGAUCAACAUACAUGUAUUGUGGUACUUGGAGCAAGCAGUCGGGACUUGAACGGCAAGACAAAUUAAAGCAAGCUGGCAAGACCAAAGUAAACUGGCAAGAUCAACAAGAGCAAGCUGCUUGUGAACAGUUAGAGUCUUGCAUUUCUUCCUCCUAUAAGAAAUACUUAUUAUACUUCAAACGAUCCAAGAGACGUAGAGUUUUGAAACACUUGAUG
RNAcentral lists this long non-coding RNA (323 nucleotides) under Nicotiana benthamiana. RNAcentral describes it as "long non-coding RNA (NBEN_LNC002740)". Lineage: Eukaryota; Viridiplantae; Streptophyta; Magnoliopsida; Solanales; Solanaceae. The record is from RNAcentral.